GUAUUCACUUCGGUAGCACAUAUUCUGGAGUUGGAAUGAGACAAGAUUAGCAUGGCCCCUGCACAAGGAUGGCAGACAAAUCCGUGAAGCCUUCUGUGUUUAA
Small nuclear RNA from Ochotona curzoniae (black-lipped pika), 103 nucleotides. The record is from RefSeq and is a predicted model, not a curated record. NCBI's taxonomy places the organism in Eukaryota, Metazoa, Chordata, Mammalia, Lagomorpha, Ochotonidae.